AACGAACGCUGGCGGCAUGCCUAACACAUGCAAGUCGAACGAGACCUUCGGGUCUAGUGGCGCACGGGUGCGUAACGCGUGGGAACCUGCCUUUAGGUUCGGAAUAACUCAGAGAAAUUUGAGCUAAUACCGGAUAAUGUCUUCGGACCAAAGAUUUAUCGCCUUUAGAUGGGCCCGCGUUGGAUUAGCUAGUUGGUGGGGUAAAGGCCUACCAAGGCGACGAUCCAUAGCUGGUCUGAGAGGAUGAUCAGCCACACUGGGACUGAGACACGGCCCAGACUCCUACGGGAGGCAGCAGUGGGGAAGAUUGGACAAUGGGCGAAAGCCUGAUCCAGCAAUGCCGCGUGAGUGAUGAAGGCCUUAGGGUUGUAAAGCUCUUUUACCCGAGAUGAUAAUGACAGUAUCGGGAGAAUAAGCUCCGGCUAACUCCGUGCCAGCAGCCGCCGUAA
RNAcentral lists this ribosomal RNA (449 nucleotides) under uncultured bacterium. Its description in RNAcentral is "partial 16S ribosomal RNA". It matches the Rfam family "Bacterial small subunit ribosomal RNA", at positions 29 to 523 of the family's 1533-position model. The record is from RNAcentral.